RNAcentral lists this ribosomal RNA (476 nucleotides) under uncultured bacterium. RNAcentral describes it as "bacterial SSU rRNA". It matches the Rfam family "Bacterial small subunit ribosomal RNA", at positions 328 to 793 of the family's 1533-position model. The record is from RNAcentral.
UCAGUCGACUCCUACGGGGAGGCAGCAGUGGGGAAUAUUGCACAAUGGGGGGAAACCCUGAUGCAGCCAUGCCGCGUGUGUGAAGAAGGCCUUCGGGUUGUAAAGCACUUUCAGUAGGGAGGAAGGUAGUGUAGUUAACACCUGCAUUAUUUGACGUUACCUACAGAAGAAGCACCGGCUAACUCCGUGCCAGCAGCCGCGGUAAUACGGAGGGUGCGAGCGUUAAUCGGAAUUACUGGGCGUAAAGCGCAUGCAGGCGGCCUGUUAAGUCAGAUGUGAAAGCCCGGGGCUUAACCUCGGAAUUGCAUUUGAAACUGGCAGGCUAGAGUCUUGUAGAGGGGGGUAGGAAUUUCAGGUGUAGCGGUGAAAUGCGUAGAGAUCUGAAGGAAUACCAGUGGCGAAGGCGGCCCCCUGGACAAAGACUGACGCUCAGAUGCGAAAGCGUGGGGAGCAAACAGGAUUAGAUACCCUGGUAG